RNAcentral lists this ribosomal RNA (474 nucleotides) under uncultured organism. RNAcentral's name for it is "partial 16S ribosomal RNA". It matches the Rfam family "Bacterial small subunit ribosomal RNA", at positions 332 to 797 of the family's 1533-position model. The record is from RNAcentral.
UACACUCCUGCGGGAGGCAGCAGUGGGGAAUAUUGCCCAAUGGGCGCAAGCCUGAUGCAGCCAUGCCGCGUGUAUGAAGAAGGCCUUCGGGUUGUAAAGUACUUUCAGCGGGGAGGAAGGCGAUAAGGUUAAUAACCUUGUCGAUUGACGUUACCCGCAGAAGAAGCACCGGCUAACUCCGUGCCAGCAGCCGCGGUAAUACGGAGGGUGCAAGCGUUAAUCGGAAUUACUGGGCGUAAAGCGCACGCAGGCGGUCUGUCAAGUCGGAUGUGAAAUCCCCGGGCUCAACCUGGGAACUGCAUUCGAAACUGGCAGGCUAGAGUCUUGUAGAGGGGGGUAGAAUUCCAGGUGUAGCGGUGAAAUGCGUAGAGAUCUGGAGGAAUACCGGUGGCGAAGGCGGCCCCCUGGACAAAGACUGACGCUCAGGUGCGAAAGCGUGGGGAGCAAACAGGAUUAGAAACCCGUGUAGUCCCA